RNAcentral lists this ribosomal RNA (429 nucleotides) under uncultured bacterium. Its description in RNAcentral is "bacterial SSU rRNA". It matches the Rfam family "Bacterial small subunit ribosomal RNA", at positions 355 to 776 of the family's 1533-position model. The record is from RNAcentral.
UAGGGAAUCUUCCACAAUGGACGAAAGUCUGAUGGAGCAACGCCGCGUGAGUGAAGAAGGUUUUCGGAUCGUAAAACUCUGUUGUAAGGGAAGAACAAGUACGGUAGUAACUGGCCGUACCUUGACGGUACCUUAUUAGAAAGCCACGGCUAACUACGUGCCAGCAGCCGCGGUAAUACGUAGGUGGCAAGUGUUGUCCGGAAUUAUUGGGCGUAAAGCGCGCGCAGGCGGUCCUUUAAGUCUGAUGUGAAAGCCCACGGCUCAACCGUGGAAGGUCAUUGGAAACUGGGGGACUUGAGUGCAGAAGAGGUUAGUGGAAUUCCAAGUGUAGCGGUGAAAUGCGUAGAGAUUUGGAGGAACACCAGUGGCGAAGGCGACUAACUGGUCUGUAACUGACGCUGAGGCGCGAAAGCGUGGGGAGCAAACAGG